Molecule: ribosomal RNA, 361 nt
Filed under: Streptococcus thermophilus
Lineage: Bacteria; Bacillati; Bacillota; Bacilli; Lactobacillales; Streptococcaceae
Description: bacterial SSU rRNA
Rfam family: Bacterial small subunit ribosomal RNA
Source: RNAcentral
GCCUUGUAGCGGGGGGUAACUAUUGGAAACGAUAGCUAAUACCGCAUAACAAUGGAUGACACAUGUCAUUUAUUUGAAAGGGGCAAUUGCUCCACUACAAGAUGGACCUGCGUUGUAUUAGCUAGUAGGUGAGGUAAUGGCUCACCUAGGCGACGAUACAUAGCCGACCUGAGAGGGGGAUCGGCCACACUGGGACUGAGACACGGCCCAGACUCCUACGGGAGGCAGCAGUAGGGAAUCUUCGGCAAUGGGGGCAACCCUGACCGAGCAACCCCGCGUGAGUGAAGAAGGUUUUCGGAUCGGAAAGCUCUGUUGUAAGUCAAGAACGGGUGUGAGAGUGGAAAGUUCACACUGUGACGGU